Molecule: ribosomal RNA, 555 nt
Filed under: Sordariochalara vaccinii
Lineage: Eukaryota; Fungi; Ascomycota; Sordariomycetes
Description: eukaryotic LSU rRNA
Rfam family: 5.8S ribosomal RNA (bases 199-352)
Source: RNAcentral
GGUCUCCGUUGGUGAACCAGCGGAGGGAUCAUUACAGAGUUGCAAAACUCCCUAAACCAUCGCGAACGUACCCGUACCGUUGCCUCGGUGGGCGGCUCCAGGGCGGAGCCCCAGCCUUCACAGGCGCCCACCGGCCGGCCAAUGUAUACAACCAUUUAUCUCCAUAGGCCUCUCUGAGUCUUUAUAUAAAUAAGUUAAAACUUUCAACAACGGAUCUCUUGGUUCUGGCAUCGAUGAAGAACGCAGCGAAAUGCGAUAAGUAAUGUGAAUUGCAGAAUUCAGUGAAUCAUCGAAUCUUUGAACGCACAUUGCGCCCGCCAGUAUUCUGGCGGGCAUGCCUGUUCGAGCGUCAUUUCAACCAUCAAGCCCAGCUUGUGUUGGGGUCCUGCGGCUGUCCGCAGGCCCUGAAAAACAGUGGCGGGCUCGCUGUCACUCCGAGCGCAGUAAUAUACAUCUCGCUUUGGCCGUGCAGUGGGUUCUUGCCGUUAAACACCCCCCUUAUACAAGGUUGACCUCGGAUCAGGUAGGAAUACCCGCUGAACUUAAGCAUAUCAA